AUUGAACGCUGGCGGCAUGCCUAACACAUGCAAGUCGAACGGCAGCGCGGACUUCGGUCUGGCGGCGAGUGGCGGACGGGUGAGGAAUGCAUCGGAAUCUGCCCCGACGUGGGGGAUAACGUAGGGAAACUUACGCUAAUACCGCAUACGUCUUACGGGAGAAAGCAGGGGACCUUCGGGCCUUGCGCGGCGGGAUGAGCCGAUGCCGGAUUAGCUAGUUGGCGGGGUAAAGGCCCACCAAGGCGACGAUCCGUAGCUGGUCUGAGAGGAUGAUCAGCCACACUGGGACUGAGACACGGCCCAG
Molecule: ribosomal RNA, 304 nt
Filed under: uncultured bacterium
Lineage: Bacteria
Description: bacterial SSU rRNA
Rfam family: Bacterial small subunit ribosomal RNA
Source: RNAcentral